This 8311-nucleotide long non-coding RNA is filed under the name Triticum aestivum (bread wheat). RNAcentral describes it as "long non-coding RNA (TAES_LNC005422)". Lineage: Eukaryota; Viridiplantae; Streptophyta; Magnoliopsida; Poales; Poaceae. The record is from RNAcentral.
GUGACGCCCGGAUAAUUAAGCUACAGUAAUUCCCUGCUAAUGAUGCCACGUCAUCACGGUUACUAUUGUCGAUCUCGCGAUGGUUCAAAACCGAUUCAAAUUCAAAAUCAAGCAAACAAUAAAACUUUUCAAAUAUUGAAACUAAAAUGUUCGGGUUGUGCCAAAUAAUGUGUAGGUAAUUAUGGUGAAGAAACCAAACUUCUAUAAAUUAUUCCAAUGCACUAAAAUAAUUAAAACAACAGCUAAACCUAUUAUAAAUGCCCUUUUGAAAUUUAUAAAAAUGCGAACUAAAUAUUUUAAAAAUACCAAAAUAUAUUAUGGAAGGGGGCUAAUUUACAACCUCCAUUUAGGUACUGGUCUUAUAAAUUUACAAAACUGAAAACUAUUAAAAACUAUAAUAGAAAACAGAAAAGUAAAAUAAAAUAAAAACAGAAAAGAAUAUACAAAAAAAAGGACCCCCCACUAGGCCUCGGCCCAGUUGGCCAUCGGGCCAACCAGGCCGGCCCAGCUGGCACCUACAACACCCCCUGGGGCGACCGAACCCUAGCCCGGCCACCCCACUCCCCCCGCACAAUCCCCACCUCUCCCCUCGUCUCCCUCACCCGCCGCCACCCCACGACGCCCACUCCCCUCCUCGCUUUNNNNNNNNNNNNNNNNNNNNNNNNNNNNNNNNNNNNNNNNNNNNNNNNNNNNNNNNNNNNNNNNNNNNNNNNNNNNNNNNNNNNNNNNNNNNNNNNNNNNNNNNNNNNNNNNNNNNNNNNNNNNNNNNNNNNNNNNNNNNNNNNNNNNNNNNNNNNNNNNNNNNNNNNNNNNNNNNNNNNNNNNNNNNNNNNNNNNNNNNNNNNNNNCGUGGCCCGACCGCGCACGCCGCCCCGCCACUGGACCUCGACCUCGCCGCCUGGGACGCCGCUCGACGCGGGAGCCCCUUCGCCGCCUCGACCACGCCUCGUCCUCGCCGGCUCCUCUCGGCCUCCUUCCUCUCUGCCCGCGGCGCCAUCGUCUGCUACCUCCUCUUCGACCACGAGCACGAGCUCGGGACCCCGUCGUCGCUGGACUAACGCCGCCCGUCGCCGGAUCUCCCUCGUCGGACUUCCCCCGACCUCUGUCGAGCCCACUGCCACGGUCCCUACUCCCCACCGUGAGGCCCUCCCUCCUUCUCCUAUGCCCCACCCCGCACUGCAUCGCCGUGCAAGCCGCUCGGGGCCGCGCCUCGCCCCCCGCCCACUGCGCCGUUGCUGCCUUACCCCGCACGCGCCGUCCCGCGUGCUCCGCUGGCCUCCUUGUCGCGAGCCUCGUGCGCCUCCCCCCUGCUCGUUGCUGCUCCGGCGCGGCUCCGACCGCGCCACCGCGCAGCCACCGCGCUCUCCGUCCCUGACCGGCGCCCACUGCGUGUCGUCCCACGGCGCUCCCCGCCCCUGUUGCUCCUUCCCCGUGCGACGUGCUGUCGCCUCUCCCCCUCCUGCGCCUUGUCCGCCUUGGCCUCGCCCUCGCCCUGCAACUCGCCUCGCCACCACUGCCUGCAGCUACUGCUGCUCCGCUGCCGUGUGCCAUCUGCCGCGACGGCCCUCUCCGCUACCCGCGCCGCCCUGCUCCGGCUGCGGCCGCGACCGCCGGUGCCCACAGGGUUGUUGCCCUUCACCCCAGCGCCAGUCGCCGCCUCUUCGGUGGCUCGCCGGAGCCCCGUCCGCCCCAUCGUGGUCGCCGUUCCCCAACCGCGCCCAAACGGGAUGGGCGUCAGCCUCAGCGCUUGGAACCCGUCUACCCAGCGCCCGUUAAGGCCGCUGGGCCUAUGACAGCUAGGCCCCACCCCCCAUGUGCCAAUGACAGGUGGGCCUAGACCCAGAACGAAAACGAUUUAUAAAAAUAUAUAUAAUUAAUUAAAAAUAAAUAAAUUAGUAAUAAGUAAAUAAAAAUGUUAAUUAAUUAAUUAACUAAAUUAAUUAACUUAAUUAAUCCUGUUUAAUUAAACUAAUUAAACAUUAGGUACCUAGUUAACUAAUUAAACUGAUUAAUAGGUUAAUUUGGUUAUUAUACCUAUGACAUGUGGGACCCACACGUCAGCGACCCAGUCAACACCUCUGUUGACUGCUGACAUCAUGCUGAUGUCAUGAUGACAUCAGCAUGUACUGUUCUGGAUAAUGUUAGAAUUAAGUAAUUAAAUAAAUCCUAAAAAAUGAUUUAAACCUUUUAAAAUUAAUAUAAAAUAAAUCGUAACCCGGAUGAAAAUACUUUGUACAUGAAAGUUGCUCAGAACGACGAGACGAACCCGGAUACGCAGCCCGUUCAUCCGCCACGCAUCCCUAACCUAUCCAACUCGCAACUUUCCCCCUCCGGCUCCUCUGCCCGAAAACGCGAAACGCCAGGGAUACUUUCCCGGAUGUUUCCCCCCUUCACUGGUAUCACCUCAUACCGCGUUAGGGCACGCCUAGCACCACGGUUUGCUUUGUCAUGCAUCGUUAUGCAUCUGUUUGCAUUGUAUUUAUUGUUUCUCCCCCCUCUUCUUCCGCUAGACACCGAGACCGACGCCGCUGCUACCCAGUACGACUAUGGAGUUGACGACACCUCUCUCUUGCCAGAGCAACCAGGCAAGCCCCCCCCUUUUGAUCACCAGAUAUCGCCUACUCUCCUCUAUACUGCUUGCAUUAGAGUAGUGUAGCAUGUUACUGCUUUCCGUUAUUCCUAUCCUGAUGCAUAGCCUGUCCUUGCUACUACUGUUGUUACCAUUACCUGCUAUCCUACUGCUUAGUAUAGGAUGCUAGUGUUCCAUCAGUGGCCCUACACUCUUGUCCGUCUGCCAUGCUAUACUACUGGGCCGUGAUCACUUCGGGAGGUGAUCACGGGCAUACAGUAUACUUUGCACAGUUACCUUACCUGUGAUACUGUUCGGAGAUGGGGGCUGAAGGGGCAGGUGGCUCCAUCCCGGUAGAGGUGGGCCUGGGUUCCCGACGGCCCUCGACUGUUACUUUGAGGCGUAGCGACAGGGCAGGUUGAGACCACCUAGGAUAGAGAUGGGCCUGGCCCUGGUCGGUGUUCGCGGAUACUUAACACGCUUAACGAGAUCUGGGUAUUUGAUCUGAGUCUGGCCGUUUGGUCUAUACGCACUAACCAUCUACGCGGGAGUAGUUAUGGGUAUCCCGGCGUCGUGGUAUCAGCCGAAGCCUUCGUGACGUCAGCAACGGAGCGGCGCGCGCUGGAUUGGACUGGAACGCCACUAGGCUAGGUCUGCUUCCGGCCGCCCACGCAACGUGCAGGUGUGCUAAGGGCGAUGGGCCCAGACCCCUGGGCGCUUAGGUUUAGACCGGCGUGCUGACCUCUCUGUUGGUCUAGGUGGGGCUGCGACGUGUUGAUCUUCCGAGGCCGGGCAUGACCCAGGAAAGUGUGUCCGGCCAAAUGGGAUCGAGCGUGUUGGGGUAUGUGGUGCACCCCUGCAGGGAAGUUAAUCUAUUCGAAUAGCUGUGAUCUUCGGUAACAGGACGACUUGGAGUUGUACCUUGACCUUAUGACAACUAGAACCGGAUACUUAAUAAAAUACACCCUUCGGUGAUCGCUCUCUCACAGGGCGACGAGGGGAGGAUCAUCGGUUAGGAUUAUGCUAUACGAUGCUACUUGGAGGACUUCAGUCUACUCUCUUCUACAUGUUGCAAGAUGGAGGUGGCCAGAAGCGUAGUCUUCGACAGGAUUAGCUAUCCCCCUCUUAUUCUGGCUUUCUGCAGUUCAGUCCACAUAUGAUAGCCUUAUUCCAUUUGAUACCAAUGCAUACAUAUGUAGUGUAACUCCUUGCUUGCGAGUACUUUGGAUGAGUACUCACGGUUGCUUUCUCCUUCUUUUCCCUCUAUCCCUUCUACCUGGUUGUCGCAACUAGAUGUUGGAGCCCAGGAGCCAGACGCCACCGUCGACGACGACUCCUACUACAUCGGAGGUGCCUACUACUACGUGCUGCCCGCUGACGACGACCAGGAGUAGUUUAGGAGGAUCCCAGGCAGGAGGCCUGCGCCUCUUUCGAUCUGUAUCCCAGUUUGUGCUAGCCUUCUUAAGGCAAACUUGUUUAACUUAUGUCUGUACUCAGAUAUUGUUGCUUCCGCUGACUCGUCUAUGAUCGAGCUCUUGUGUUCGAGCCCUCGAGGCCCCUGGCUUGUAAUAUGAUGCUUGUAUGACUUAUUUUAUUUGUAGAGUUGUGUUGUGAUAUCUUCCCGUGAGUCCCUGAUCUUGAUCGUACACGUUUGCGUGUAUGAUUAGUGUACGAUUAAAUCGGGGGUGUCACAAGUUGGUAUCAGAGCCGACUGCCUGUAGGAAUCCCCUUUCCAACUCCUUGGCCGAAGUUGAGUCUAGUCGAUGAAAACUGUUUUUCUAACAUGGCUGUGCGGCCCAUGGGCCCACGUUGCCAUUGGGUGGUAUUACGAUCUUUUACUCCUCGAUCUUUACUCCGGGAUUCUGAACUCUCUUCUAUUCGGGUUAAAAGGUUUUUACUAAAAUCUAACUUUAGGUUCUCAAAAUUACUUUCUCCCGGAGAGCCCCUUCAGUCCAGAUGAUCGCCGGCUGCACCAGAAGAUAUCGAAGAUACUCUCUGAUAUUCUCUCGAGACCUUGUGUCGUUGCUUUUGCAAUUCCCUUCCACCGAAAUAUCCCUAUGGAUAAAUACUUACACCUGUCGUGCUUACUUUUAUUCCCAGUCGAUCUUGUUAUUAUAAGAUACCCCGAGAAUACUUUGUGCCUACUGCCUUGCAGUUCUUUGCCACAUGCAUACCACUACGGAUAAUUACUCGCAUUUAUCGAGUAUCCGCUCAUCCCCAGAUAUUCAUGCAGUUCACAAAAUUCUUCGAAAUACCAUUCGGUCUUCCGAAAAUCCUGAGCAAGCUAUUGCUCCUGAAAUUCUUGCUUGCUUGCAUUAUGGUUAAUCCCAUAAGUAUAGUAAUCUUAUUGGCAACCCUGUCAAUAUCAUUUUGAGUCCAUUGACUCAAUAUGUUGCGAAGCUCGCAAUCCUCACUCGGAUCAUAGAAUUCAUCCUUCCGGCUCAGAUGUCAUUUAAAACGUGAGCUGGUCCUCGGCCAAUUAGAUUGCCAUCGAUUGUACCCCUAAGUCUAUUCAACUUGUCUGUCCUUGAUCAGAGCGUUUGCUCCUGAUCCCUUGAUUUGAAAAUCAUAAUUCCUUUGUUAUUUAAAUGUUGAAUUAUUCAGAUGUUCUGUAAAACGAUGCAUUUGCAUUCUUUCUUCCUCUGGUUGAGUACCAAUGCUCACGUCAGCUCUGUUAUGGACCGGCAAGUCCUUUAAUGGACUUUAUCCGACACCGUCCUUCAUAUUCAAUAACCUUGUGAGCCUUCCCUCGGAUACAUAAUGCCUUUGGUAAAUUGUAUCAUCUACUUUCUCAACCUUGCUCUACUUUCGAGCUUGUGAUAUUUACUCUUGAAGCUUGUGGUAUAUGUUUCAAAGAAGCCCCUAUGGGUUGAACAUAUGCCUUCUCUAAACUGUGUGAACUCAAAACUUUUCACGAGUCAUACACUUCUAGUAUUUUGCCAGAUAAAAUCUCAACACUACAACUUCUUCGAAAGUGAGAAGUGAAUGAAAGGUUAUGCAUUGGAGAAGUGGGAGUCGACCUUGAACUUUGUGUUUAUGCCGAUGGACACGAUGUAGAUCUUAUCAUUAAAGCUUCUCUUAAAUUAAACUAUUCCUUUGGUAUAAGUUCAUCUUAUAUCCAGGAUCUGGCCUUUUGCAAUCAUGGUUCCGACCAUGUUCUCCUUUAAAUACCAUUUCGCGUGCAAGUUUAAGCGCUUGUCUUCUGUAAAGCAAUACCCCGAUCCAACUUAUACUUUGAUCUGUCAUCAAGUAUUACCCCCUGGUAUCUCGAGGAUACCACGGGAUACAUAACUUCUUAUGAGUUCUUCAUCAACUAAUAUUCUUGCCGAUUCCAUUUCUCCAACGGGUUCUCAGUUGUUAGAACCCCUCAAGGACACCAACAACUGAAUUGAGUCCGCACUACGAUUCAACAACUCUUGGUAACCUUCAUUACUUACGAGUCGGAACUCGAUCACGUCAUUCCGAGCCUACUCGGCUAUGUCAUUAUCGUGCCAAAUUUUAACUGUGCUACCUGGUCCUUCUUUCCGGAGCACAAUUUCGACGAUGGGCUAAGCUUACAUCGAUCUUCCUUGUCUUAUCGUUUCACCUCAAACAACAAGCUUGAUUUCAAGUUUGUGUCCUACCCAUGGUUCCAAUAACCUUCCGCUUCAUCAUUCCUUUGACCUGAUGUCAUCGCUGAUUGAUUACAUCUUCAUGAAAUCUCUCGACAAAUGUGUCGUGAUCAUCAUCGACCUUAUGAGCUCUUCCAGGAUAUCAAUUGAGUUCAUGAUGAGAAAUACUAUCCUUGCCUCCGCUGAUUUGUGUUAUCUUUGACCACUUUAUUGCCUUCCGUUCAACACAAACUUGUUCGUGUUUUGAGUUAUACCUUGAGAUCCUUGCUACCCAGCAUUUGUUCUUCUUUACCUUGGAAUAUUACCACCUUUUAUGUCAAGAAUGUCGUGGUAAUUUUACCACCUCUUGAGAAUUCUUGAUAUAGUAAUAUCUCUCGCCUUUUGUGUUCAUUUCUUGGUCUCUGUGUUAAUUCUAACCGGAAUACCGACAAAUGGUCUGUGAUGUGUAAAUGCUAAACUUCUAGCAACCCUAUUGCUUUGAGGUUAUUGGUCUACAGUUUCAUUCUAAGUCUAUUGCUUAUUGAAUUAUCAUUCGAACAUUGAUCGUGCUACCUAGUCUAGAUUCCUGGGUGCACCCUUCUAUCAUUGUUCAGUUGUGUAUGCUUCCCUCGAGCAUACAUCAUUAUAUCAUUUGAUCCGACAAAUGAUAUUUCCUUGUUCACAUAAUUGUGGAAAUCAAUCCUUUGGAAAUCUCGAUGAUUUUUGCUGAGCCUAUCAGCCACCUCCUCAUCCUCUCCUUGGUUUACUGAUGAACUCUUGUGUCGGAACUCGCUCCCAUAGUUCAAUUCCCGAGAAUCUGACAAUGUCAUCUCGACAAUUUGUGUUGCACCUCUCUUCUCAGGCAUCCCGAGUCUGCGAUAUCCUGGCGCCAAUCAGAACUGGAUCUCGGUCAGAUAUGAUGGUUGGAACAUAUUUCAAAGAGUUUUCUACAUUAUAUCAUGUCAUGGAUAUUAUGCUCUGUUUGUCCUUGGGAAGGAUAUACCCUUGAAAUAUGUCUGUAUACACAUUUUCCUUUCCAUUGUUCUGGUUAAACCUGAUAAUUUCUUUUCCUUUCCAUGGGUUUGUUUAAACCUCCUUGUGAUCUAUAUUAUAUAAGCAGUAAUAUUUCCCUGCUUAUGUAAACACCUCGUUGUACCACUCUGUCAGUAAGACCCUGUUGCUAUUGUUGAUGACACUUCGGUAGCCACCGAUGAAUGAGAACUUUGCCUAUUGGUCCGCCUCGAUCCACGAGCAGGAAAAAUGGUUCUCUUCGUCCCUCGCCCUUGGUCCCGACGUUGUUGCCGACAUGACCAAUAGACUAUCCCCUGACAUGCCUUGCUUACAUGAUCGUGCAAAAUGUCACCAACCUUCCUACUUUUAACCGCAUGGUGGGCCCAUAACCCAUAGUUCCAUAUGGUCGAAACCUGACUCUCCUGUACACCUUGUUAACAAAGUUAUCCCUUGCUCUUGGUUUCGUAGGUAAUUCGUGAGCCACCUCCCUAGUGCUCCAUUCUGGUAUCAGACGCAAUACUUACUCUCGCUGCUCUGAACCCUUUCUCACUAUGGUUCAGACCUUGAGCAACUAUCUAUCCGCUUGGACCCUCUCAUUGUACCUUCGUACAAUACUCUUGAUGUAUUUUAUAUGUUCAACUCGAGAGGUAGUCUUAUGCUCAUUCAUGGGUUAACCCCCAGAUUGUUUCCCUCAAAGGCAUUCUGUCAUAGCUGAGCUGCCCCUUAUCCUUUCUUAAGUACGAUGGAGUUCCCGAAGAAAUGAUGACAAGUUUAUCAUGAUGCAUUGGAAUAAAGAAUUGAAGACAUCAACAAAAGGGAUUAACAUCUUCGAGAAGAUCCAUCGAAAUAUAAUAACCGGAACAUUCCCACUUACUCCCCUCUUAAAUCUCGGGACGAGAUUUCUUAUAGUGGAGGAGAAUUGUGACGCCCGGAUAAUUAAGCUACAGUAAUUCCCUGCUAAUGAUGCCACGUCAUCACGGUUACUAUUGUCGAUCUAGCGAUGGUUCAAAACCGAUUCAAAUUCAAAAUCAAGCAAACAAUAAAACUUUUCAAAUAUUGAAACUAAAAUGUUCGGGUUGUGCCAAAUAAUGUGUAGGUAAUUAUGGUGAAGAAACCAAACUUCUAUAAAUUAUUCCAAUGC